GCAAACUUGGUCAUUUAGAGGAAGUAAAAGUCGUAACAAGGUAACCGUAGGUGAACCUGCGGUUGGAUCAUUAACAAAAAUUAGACUAGCUUGUCCAAAAGACAGGUUACUCUUUAACAAAUGUGAACCGUUUAUUGUCUCUGGUGGGCCUUUUUAUUGAGAGGUCCACCGAUUUUAUAUUGAACCUUGUAGUAUCAUUUGUCUUCAAGUUUUAAUUUUUUUAAUUAAAAACAACUUUUGGCAACGGAUCUCUAGGCUCUCGCAUCGAUGAAGAACGCAGC
RNAcentral lists this unclassified non-coding RNA (281 nucleotides) under uncultured fungus. Its description in RNAcentral is "partial contains small subunit ribosomal RNA, internal transcribed spacer 1, and 5.8S ribosomal RNA". The stretch from base 1 to 73 matches the Rfam family "Eukaryotic small subunit ribosomal RNA", at positions 1759 to 1831 of the family's 1831-position model. The record is from RNAcentral. Lineage: Eukaryota; Fungi.